RNAcentral lists this ribosomal RNA (375 nucleotides) under Triticum aestivum (bread wheat). Its description in RNAcentral is "partial small subunit ribosomal RNA". The record is from RNAcentral. Lineage: Eukaryota; Viridiplantae; Streptophyta; Magnoliopsida; Poales; Poaceae.
AUGGGGAUACUACUGGUUUCCGGGAGAUUCUUGGCUCGACGGCCUCCACUGGCGCUCGCCCCUCGCUGCUCCCGAGGCUCCCCGGACAAGCGCGGCAGGGACGAAGGUGACACAUCAUCAACUGACUGGGAUAAGGCUUGGUCUACCUUUAAGAAGAAAGGGAAGAAGACCCUAUUCUCAGAGUUCUCACCGAACAAAUAUGUGACCUGGAACCCACGGCGCAGUGAGUAUCCAUUGUCAGAAGAAGUCGAUCCAAUCAAAAGAGCUGAGAGGUCUAACUUGAUGUUGUGGACAAGCCCAAGAUUUACCUUGGUAGGGGCGAUUAUCAUCGUUUCGGCAUUGCUAAUCUAUACAUUGGUUGUCCCACCCAAGUAA